Long non-coding RNA from Megalobrama amblycephala (Wuchang bream), 494 nucleotides. RefSeq lists it as uncharacterized. NCBI's taxonomy places the organism in Eukaryota, Metazoa, Chordata, Actinopteri, Cypriniformes, Xenocyprididae. The transcript has 2 exons. The record is from RefSeq and is a predicted model, not a curated record.
AUUAACUACUUCACAUUAUCUGUCUGUUUUUGUCCCUUUUGUGUCUGUUUUGGCUCUCAAGGCAUGUUAAGGUAUAUUCUUUAAUUAAUUUGUAAUUUUAUAUCAUCUAAUUGUGCUUUUCUAUUGUGUUUGUAUUGUAGAAUGUUAUCACUUUGUAAUGGAAAUGUGCAUCUGUACUUAAACAGAUUGUUUACAGUCUCCCGUUCAAAGAGCUUAUCAACUGCCUACUGAACACUUCCAUGUUCCUGCUCAGAACAACAACAGGAUGUGAAAAUGUUACCGUGGUGCCUUUUUGUAUUAGAGCUGACAUAGUAUAGUCUGUAACAUGACCUCAGUAAGAUUCAAUAAUUGUGGGCCUUGAGCAGAAUGUCUUUAGACUGAUUCUUAGUUUUUGCAUUAGUAGGCUAUGAACACUAUUUCGUUUUUUACAAUGGAAAGGAACGUGGAAAGGCAUGUUCAUGUGUAGAUGCCAUUAAAACAGACUUGACUUGUAA